UACAGAGGUGCCGAGCGUUAGGCGGAAUCACUGGGCUUAAAGCGCGCGUAGGCGGACGGGUAAGUACCUUGUGAAAUCCCACGGCUCAACCGUGGAACGGCUGGGUAUACUGCCCGUCUUGAGGCACUCAGGGGCGAGCGGAACAAAUGGUGGAGCGGUGAAAUGCGUAGAUAUCAAGAGGAACACCUGAGGUGGAGACGGGUUGCUGGGCUGACACUGACGCUGAGGCGCGAAAGCCAGGGGAGCAAACGGG
Molecule: ribosomal RNA, 253 nt
Filed under: uncultured bacterium
Lineage: Bacteria
Description: partial 16S ribosomal RNA
Rfam family: Bacterial small subunit ribosomal RNA
Source: RNAcentral